Molecule: unclassified non-coding RNA, 926 nt
Filed under: Hevea brasiliensis (rubber tree)
Lineage: Eukaryota; Viridiplantae; Streptophyta; Magnoliopsida; Malpighiales; Euphorbiaceae
Source: RNAcentral
UUUUUGAUUGCCAACAAGGUAGGAUAACUAAUUUGGAGUAGGACUGAAAAAGGAGCCACAAAAUAGCAUUACAAUUCACAAGGAGAUAUAAAUAUGCCCAGAAAUUUGUUCAAAAAACAGGUAGUGCUGGAAAAUCUACAUUGCUGUUAACUGCUACACUUGAUAGCACAAGUUGCAAAAUAACUGAGAUAAAUCGAUUGCCUUGCCAGACUGAAUAUAAGUAACCACUUUAGCCGCGGAUUCUGCCCAAAAAUUUCAUGCUUGUGUCGUCGAUGAACUCAUUUAGACAUUGAUUAUAACCAGAGAGUAGUAGGCACAACACCGUGUGACAGCCUACAUUAACUAGUUUAUCUGGGUCCUUGAGCUCGCUGCACAUCAUAACCACCCCAAGCACCAGGCCCAUGUCCAUACUGAGAAUAACCUUCAGCACCACCCUGCACAGGAUGAGCAGGGUUCAUAGGAUUCAUUCCGUAAUUAGCAGGAUAAUAAUUCCCUGGAUAACCAGAUUCAGGAUUCCCAUAAUUUGCAUUGUACCCUGCACCUGGAUUCGCAACAGCUGCUGCUGCUCGGGCUCUUUUUUCUGCAUUAGCAACCUCAGCUCGAAGUUUUUCAAGUUCUCGAGCCAUAGCUAGCAAUUUUUUCUCCAUAACCUGACCAUAUUCAUAGUUUUCUGCGUAUCCUUUCUUCUCAUUCUCAAUAGCUGCCCUUGCUCGCUGCAGCUCUUGUUUUAGACCUUCACUUUCAGCUUUAAUUGCUGGAGCCUGCUGUAAAUCUGCAGUCAUUCUACUCAAAUCCUGUGUCAUUCUUUGAUACUCAACAGUAAGAUCUUGUCUGGCAGCAGUAAACUCCUUAAUAUCCGAGCGCACUCGCAUAAGCUCUGACCUCAUACCAUCAGCUACUUGGAGAUCCAUUUCCAACUUAGCAGA